Molecule: long non-coding RNA, 233 nt
Filed under: Sinocyclocheilus anshuiensis
Lineage: Eukaryota; Metazoa; Chordata; Actinopteri; Cypriniformes; Cyprinidae
Description: lncRNA (ENSSANG00000028196.1)
Source: RNAcentral
CAGAGAGAGGAAGACAUCUUUUUAAACAUCAUUCAAAUCAAGUGAUGACGAAUGAGCAGAUUUACCAGCCGUCUUUAUUUGAUGUCUGAAGCGAGUCUGGUGAGGACACAUCAGAAAACUCUCGUACUUCCUGUAGCAGCUUCAGAACCGAAUCACAACUCUCACAACCAGAUGCAUCUGCAUCACCCGCAUCUGGACACCCGAGGAUUGUAACCUGACCUGAUCUGUCGUGG